Molecule: non-coding RNA, 82 nt
Organism: Gopherus flavomarginatus (Mexican gopher tortoise)
Lineage: Eukaryota; Metazoa; Chordata; Testudines; Testudinidae
Source: the annotation of a RefSeq genome assembly
GUAGUUGUGGCCGAGUGGUUAAGGCGAUGGACUCAAAAUCCAUCGGGGUCUCCCCAAGCAGGUUUGAAUUCUGUCAACUAUG